RNAcentral lists this ribosomal RNA (1396 nucleotides) under Streptococcus pneumoniae. RNAcentral describes it as "bacterial SSU rRNA". It matches the Rfam family "Bacterial small subunit ribosomal RNA". Lineage: Bacteria; Bacillati; Bacillota; Bacilli; Lactobacillales; Streptococcaceae. The record is from RNAcentral.
CCUUGACUCUGGGAUAAGCCUGGGAAACUGGGUCUAAUACUGGAUACUACCUCUUGCCGCAUGGUGGGUGGUGGAAAGGGUUUUACUGGUUUUGGAUGGGCUCACGGCCUAUCAGCUUGUUGGUGGGGUAAUGGCUCACCAAGGCGACGACGGGUAGCCGGCCUGAGAGGGUGACCGGCCACACUGGGACUGAGACACGGCCCAGACUCCUACGGGAGGCAGCAGUGGGGAAUAUUGCACAAUGGGCGGAAGCCUGAUGCAGCGACGCCGCGUGAGGGAUGACGGCCUUCGGGUUGUAAACCUCUUUCAGUAGGGAAGAAGCGAGAGUGACGGUACCUGCAGAAGAAGCGCCGGCUAACUACGUGCCAGCAGCCGCGGUAAUACGUAGGGCGCAAGCGUUGUCCGGAAUUAUUGGGCGUAAAGAGCUCGUAGGCGGUUUGUCGCGUCUGCUGUGAAAGCCCGGGGCUCAACCCCGGGUCUGCAGUGGGUACGGGCAGACUAGAGUGCAGUAGGGGAGACUGGAAUUCCUGGUGUAGCGGUGAAAUGCGCAGAUAUCAGGAGGAACACCGAUGGCGAAGGCAGGUCUCUGGGCUGUUACUGACGCUGAGGAGCGAAAGCAUGGGGAGCGAACAGGAUUAGAUACCCUGGUAGUCCAUGCCGUAAACGUUGGGCACUAGGUGUGGGGGACAUUCCACGUUUUCCGCGCCGUAGCUAACGCAUUAAGUGCCCCGCCUGGGGAGUACGGCCGCAAGGCUAAAACUCAAAGGAAUUGACGGGGGCCCGCACAAGCGGCGGAGCAUGCGGAUUAAUUCGAUGCAACGCGAAGAACCUUACCAAGGCUUGACAUUCACCGGACCGCCCCAGAGAUGGGGUUUCCCUUCGGGGCUGGUGGACAGGUGGUGCAUGGUUGUCGUCAGCUCGUGUCGUGAGAUGUUGGGUUAAGUCCCGCAACGAGCGCAACCCUCGUUCUAUGUUGCCAGCACGUGAUGGUGGGGACUCAUAGGAGACUGCCGGGGUCAACUCGGAGGAAGGUGGGGAUGACGUCAAAUCAUCAUGCCCCUUAUGUCUUGGGCUUCACGCAUGCUACAAUGGCCGGUACAAAGGGUUGCGAUACUGUGAGGUGGAGCUAAUCCCAAAAAGCCGGUCUCAGUUCGGAUUGAGGUCUGCAACUCGACCUCAUGAAGUCGGAGUCGCUAGUAAUCGCAGAUCAGCAACGCUGCGGUGAAUACGUUCCCGGGCCUUGUACACACCGCCCGUCAAGUCACGAAAGUUGGUAACACCCGAAGCCGGUGGCCUAACCCCUUGUGGGAGGGAGCCGUCGAAGGUGGGACUGGCGAUUGGGACUAAGUCGUAACAAGGUAGCCGUACCGGAAGGUGCGGCUGGAUCACCUCCUUU